RNAcentral lists this ribosomal RNA (253 nucleotides) under uncultured bacterium. RNAcentral's name for it is "partial 16S ribosomal RNA". It matches the Rfam family "Bacterial small subunit ribosomal RNA", at positions 524 to 776 of the family's 1533-position model. The record is from RNAcentral.
UACGAAGGGGGCUAGCGUUGCUCGGAAUUACUGGGCGUAAAGGGAGCGUAGGCGGACAUUUAAGUCAGGGGUGAAAUCCCAGAGCUCAACUCUGGAACUGCCUUUGAUACUGGAUGUCUUGAGUGUGAGAGAGGUAUGUGGAACCCCGAGUGUAGAGGUGAAAUUCGUAGAUAUUCGGAAGAACACCAGUGGCGAAGGCGACAUACUGGCUCAUUACUGACGCUGAGGCUCGAAAGCGUGGGGAGCAAACAGG